UACGGGGGGGGCAAGCGUUGUUCGGAAUUACUGGGCGUAAAGGGCGCGUAGGCGGCCAAGUAAGUCAGACGUGAAAUCCCUAGGCUCAACCUAGGAACUGCGUCUGAUACUGGAUGGCUUGAAUCCGGGAGAGGGAUGCAGAAUUCCAGGUGUAGCGGUGAAAUGCGUAGAUAUCUGGAGGAAUACCGGUGGCGAAGGCGGCAUCCUGGACCGGCAUUGACGCUGAGGAGCGAAAGCCAGGGGAGCAAACGGG
Molecule: ribosomal RNA, 253 nt
Filed under: uncultured bacterium
Lineage: Bacteria
Description: partial 16S ribosomal RNA
Rfam family: Bacterial small subunit ribosomal RNA
Source: RNAcentral